This 314-nucleotide ribosomal RNA is filed under the name Bacillus suaedaesalsae. RNAcentral's name for it is "bacterial SSU rRNA". It matches the Rfam family "Bacterial small subunit ribosomal RNA", at positions 1 to 305 of the family's 1533-position model. The record is from RNAcentral. Lineage: Bacteria; Bacillati; Bacillota; Bacilli; Caryophanales; Bacillaceae.
UUAUUGGAGAGUUUGAUCCUGGCUCAGGACGAACGCUGGCGGCGUGCCUAAUACAUGCAAGUCGAGCGGAUUGAUGGGAGCUUGCUCCCUGAUAUCAGCGGCGGACGGGUGAGUAACACGUGGGCAACCUGCCUGUAAGACUGGGAUAACUUCGGGAAACCGGAGCUAAUACCGGAUAACUUCAAGCACCUCCUGGUGCUUGAAUAAAAGACGGUUUCGGCUGUCACUUACAGAUGGGCCCGCGGCGCAUUAGCUAGUUGGUGAGGUAACGGCUCACCAAGGCGACGAUGCGUAGCCGACCUGAGAGGGUGAUC